RNAcentral lists this ribosomal RNA (370 nucleotides) under uncultured fungus. RNAcentral describes it as "eukaryotic LSU rRNA". It matches the Rfam family "Eukaryotic large subunit ribosomal RNA", at positions 40 to 398 of the family's 3401-position model. The record is from RNAcentral. Lineage: Eukaryota; Fungi.
AUAUCAAUAAGCGGAGGAAAAGAAACCAACAGGGAUUGCCUCAGUAACGGCGAGUGAAGCGGCAACAGCUCAAAUUUGAAAUCUGGUUCUUUUCAGGGUCCGAGUUGUAAUUUGUAGAAGGAUGCUUCGGCGUGUGGCUCCGGUCUAAGUUCCUUGGAACAGGACGUCAUAGAGGGUGAGAAUCCCGUAUGUGACUCGGUUGCCUUUCGCCUAUGUGAAGCUCUUUCGACGAGUCGAGUUGUUUGGGAAUGCAGCUCUAAAAUGGGUAGGUAAAUUUCAUUCUAAAGCUAAAUACUGGCCAGAGACCGAUAGCGCACAAGUAGAGUGAUCGAAAGAUGAAAGCACUUUGGAAAGAGAGUCAAAACAGUAC